CAUCGGUGAAGUCAAACCAACAAAGAGGUGAUGUAUCACCAGAAGAAGCACCGGCCAAGUUCGUGCCAGCAGCCGCGGUAAU
RNAcentral lists this ribosomal RNA (82 nucleotides) under uncultured Alphaproteobacteria bacterium. RNAcentral's name for it is "partial 16S ribosomal RNA". The record is from RNAcentral. Lineage: Bacteria; Pseudomonadati; Pseudomonadota; Alphaproteobacteria.